GUUUCAUUAGCUCAGUCAGUUGAGCGUGGUGCUAACAACGCUAAGGUUGCGGGUUCGAUUCCCGUUUGGUUCC
RNAcentral lists this transfer RNA (73 nucleotides) under Apaloderma vittatum (bar-tailed trogon). It matches the Rfam family "tRNA". Rfam says of the family: Transfer RNA (tRNA) molecules are approximately 80 nucleotides in length. The record is from Rfam by way of RNAcentral. Lineage: Eukaryota; Metazoa; Chordata; Aves; Trogoniformes; Trogonidae.